AGCUCCAAUAGCAUAUAUUAAUGUUGUUGCAGUUAAAAAGCUCGUAGUUGGAUUUCUGCAGGAGUGUCAAUGUCCACCCACGUGUGAGUUGCAGCGACGCUCCUGCAUCCUUCGGUUACCUCCGCUCGGCAUUCACUUGCCGGCGGUUGGCUCCGAAUAUUUACCUUGAGAAAAUUAGAGUGUUUCAGGCAGGCUAAGCCGGAAUACAUUAGCAUGGAAUAAUAGAAUAGGACUACGGUCUCGUUGUUGGUUUGAGGGACUGGAGUAAUGAUUAAUAGGGAUAGUUGGGGGCAUUAGUAUUUAAUUGUCAGAGGUGAAAUUCUCAGAUUAACUAAAGACUAACUUAUGCGAAAGCAUUUGCCAAGGAUGUUUUCAUUA
RNAcentral lists this ribosomal RNA (378 nucleotides) under Spirotontonia sp. RNAcentral's name for it is "SSU rRNA". It matches the Rfam family "Eukaryotic small subunit ribosomal RNA", at positions 587 to 975 of the family's 1831-position model. Lineage: Eukaryota; Ciliophora; Spirotrichea; Tontoniidae. The record is from RNAcentral. RNAcentral also lists the same sequence under 1 other name.